Molecule: non-coding RNA, 789 nt
Filed under: Lysobacter defluvii IMMIB APB-9 = DSM 18482
Lineage: Bacteria; Pseudomonadati; Pseudomonadota; Gammaproteobacteria; Lysobacterales; Lysobacteraceae
Description: Bacterial large subunit ribosomal RNA
Rfam family: Bacterial large subunit ribosomal RNA
Source: Rfam by way of RNAcentral
CCCGUGAACCUUUACUAUAGCUUCACACUGAACGUUGAGUUCGUCUGUGUAGGAUAGGUGGGAGGCUGUGAAACCAGGACGCCAGUUCUGGUGGAGCCAUCCUUGAAAUACCACCCUGUCGUGCUUGACGUUCUAACCUGGGCCCGUAAUCCGGGUCGGGGACCGUGUGUGGUGGGUAGUUUGACUGGGGCGGUCUCCUCCCAAAGUGUAACGGAGGAGCACGAAGGUACGCUCAGCGCGGUCGGACAUCGCGCACUGUGUGCAAAGGCAUAAGCGUGCUUGACUGCAAGAUCGACGGAUCAAGCAGGUACGAAAGUAGGUCUUAGUGAUCCGGUGGUUCUGUAUGGAAGGGCCAUCGCUCAACGGAUAAAAGGUACUCCGGGGAUAACAGGCUGAUACCGCCCAAGAGUUCAUAUCGACGGCGGUGUUUGGCACCUCGAUGUCGGCUCAUCACAUCCUGGGGCUGUAGUCGGUCCCAAGGGUAUGGCUGUUCGCCAUUUAAAGUGGUACGCGAGCUGGGUUCAGAACGUCGUGAGACAGUUCGGUCCCUAUCUGCCAUGGGCGUUGGAGAUUUGAGAGGGGCUGCUCCUAGUACGAGAGGACCGGAGUGGACGAACCCCUGGUGUUCCGGUUGUCACGCCAGUGGCACUGCCGGGUAGCUACGUUCGGAAGCGAUAACCGCUGAAAGCAUCUAAGCGGGAAGCGCGCCUCAAGAUGAGAUCUCCCGGGAGCUUGACUCCCCUGAAGGAACCAUCAAGACCAGGUGGUUGAUAGGCUGGGUGUGUAAGU